Molecule: ribosomal RNA, 450 nt
Filed under: Aphilodon weberi
Lineage: Eukaryota; Metazoa; Arthropoda; Chilopoda; Geophilomorpha; Aphilodontidae
Description: eukaryotic LSU rRNA
Rfam family: Eukaryotic large subunit ribosomal RNA
Source: RNAcentral
AACAUGUGCGCAAGUCGUAAGGUCGGUUCAUUCGAAGCGAAACCCGAAGGCGAAAUGAAAGUGAAGGCCGUCCUUUGUCUCUCUCUUUUGAGGGAUGAUCGAACGACCGAGGCGGGAUCCUAGAGAACAGCAAUGUUCUCGAACCGGACUGCGUGGGCUCGUCUCUCGCGAAACGGUCCGGGGGCGCACCGCCGGCCCGUCUCGACCGCUUAUUUUUCGGUCUGUCUUCGCGACUCGUCUCUUUUUCUCUCUCGUUAGCUUUUAAUCGGGCUGGCGGGAAGAAAGGGCGGUUCGAAGCGCGGAAUUUAUUUCGGUCGGUGAGGCGGAGCUAGAGCACACACGUUGGGACCCGAAAGAUGGUGAACUAUGCCCGGGCAGGACGAAGCCAGAGGAAACUCUGGUGGAGGUCCGCAGCGAUUCUGACGUGCAAAUCGAUCGUCGGACCUGGGU